This 1449-nucleotide ribosomal RNA is filed under the name metagenome. RNAcentral describes it as "bacterial LSU rRNA". It matches the Rfam family "Bacterial large subunit ribosomal RNA", at positions 1458 to 2925 of the family's 2925-position model. The record is from RNAcentral.
ACAGAACUGUGGGGACACGUAAGGAAAGCGGAAGCCGGGAAUGGAAAGCCCGGUGCAAGCGGGGUACCAGUCACUUUGGCAAAUCCGGGUGGCAAUGGGAAGCCGUGAUGCGGAGCGAAAUAAAGUAGCGAAGUCCGUGAGCCAUGCGUCAAGGAAAGCCGCUAUCGUUUAUACCGUACCCGUACCGUAAACCGACACAGGUGGAUGAGGAGAGAAUCCUAAGGCCGGCGGAAGAAGCAUUGUCAAGGAACUCGGCAAAAUGGCCCCGUAACUUAGGGAUAAGGGGUGCCUGGGAAACCAGGCCGCAGAGAAUAGGCUCAAGCAACUGUUUAGCAAAAACACAGGUCUAUGCGAAACCGAAAGGUGAGGUAUAUGGGCUGACGCCUGCCCGGUGCUGGAAGGUUAAGAGGAGAGGUUAGCGGUAACGCGAAGCUUUGAAUUUAAGCCCCAGUAAACGGCGGCCGUAACAAUAACGGUCCUAAGGUAGCGAAAUUCCUUGUCGGGUAAGUUCCGACCCGCACGAAAGGCGUAAUGAUUUGAGCGCUGUCUCGACAAUGCAUCCGGUGAAAUUGAAGUACCAGUGAAGAUGCUGGUUACCUGCGCCAGGACGGAAAGACCCCAUGGAGCUUUACUCCAGUCUGGUACUGGGACUCGGUAUUGCAUGUACAGGAUAGGUGGGAGGCUAGGAGAUGGUAACGCCAGUUGCCAUGGAGCCGCUGUUGGGAUACCACCCUUGCAGUAUUGGGUUUCUAACCAGCCGCCGUGACCCGGCGGUGGGACAAUGCCAGACGGGGAGUUUGACUGGGGCGGUCGCCUCCGAAAGGGUAUCGGAGGCGCCCAAAGGUUCCCUCAGAAUGGACGGAAACCAUUCGAAGAGUGCAAAGGCAGAAGGGAGCUUGACUGCGACACCGACGGGUGGAGCAGGUACGAAAGUAGGGCUUAGUGAUCCGGUGGUAUUAAGUGGGAAUGCCAUCGCUCAACGGAUAAAAGCUACCCUGGGGAUAACAGGCUUAUCACUCCCAAGAGUUCACAUCGACGGAGUGGUUUGGCACCUCGAUGUCGGCUCAUCGCAUCCUGGGGCUGUAGUAGGUCCCAAGGGUUGGGCUGUUCGCCCAUUAAAGCGGUACGCGAGCUGGGUUCAGAACGUCGUGAGACAGUUCGGUCCCUAUCCGGCGUGGGCGUAGGAUAUCUGAGAGGAGCUGUCCUUAGUACGAGAGGACCGGGAUGGACGGGCCGCUGGUGCAUCGGUUAGACUGCCAAGUCUACGGCCGAGUAGCCAAGCCCGGAAGGGAUAAACGCUGAAGGCAUCUAAGCGUGAAGCCCCCCUUAAGAUGAGAUAUCCCAUUCGAAAGAAGUAAACCCCCUUGAAGACGACGAGGUAGAUAGGGCAGAGGUGGAAGUGCAGUAAUGCAUGGAGCUGACUGUUACUAAUCGGGUGAGGGCUUGACC